Molecule: small RNA, 159 nt
Filed under: Theobroma cacao (cacao)
Lineage: Eukaryota; Viridiplantae; Streptophyta; Magnoliopsida; Malvales; Malvaceae
Description: sRNA Tc02v2_g017270
Source: RNAcentral
GAAAUUCACAAAAUUUCAAAAAAUCAAGUGACAAAAGGUGGUGAAUCCUCCGCUAAGGGCAAAGAAAUUGUACCCGAGGAUCGAUAGUCAGAGUACUCUAGAAAUUCGACUCCCGAAAUACUUGCUGCAGUGGGUAGGUUAUGUGGACCAGCUUAUUAG